This 205-nucleotide ribosomal RNA is filed under the name uncultured Bacillus sp. Its description in RNAcentral is "partial 16S ribosomal RNA". It matches the Rfam family "Bacterial small subunit ribosomal RNA", at positions 1179 to 1382 of the family's 1533-position model. The record is from RNAcentral. Lineage: Bacteria; Bacillati; Bacillota; Bacilli; Caryophanales; Bacillaceae.
AUGACGUCAAAUCAUCAUGCCCCUUAUGUACCUGGGCUACACACGUGCUACAAUGGCCGGUACAGACGGACGCAAAGCCGCGAGGUGGAGCAAAUCCUAAAAAGCCGGUCUCAGUUCGGAUUGCAGGCUGCAAUUCGCCUGCAUGAAGUCGGAAUCGCUAGUAAUCGCAGGUCAGCAUACUGCGGUGAAUACGUUCCCGGGCCUU